AAAAAGGCAAACUUUAGAUUUUCAUGUCCAAUUUUAACUGUCCGUCUUAUAUGAAAUUUUUUUAUAAUUCGUAUUUUCAUUGUUGUUAGAUGAUAAAACAUGAUUAAUAUUUUAUGCGUGACUUUUUUUAAUUUUUUUUAUAAUUUUUUUAAAUAAGUUGGACGGUCAAAUGUUGGAUACGAAAAGCAGGGUUUGUCUUUUU
This is a non-coding RNA of Oryza nivara, 202 nucleotides long. The record is from Rfam. NCBI's taxonomy places the organism in Eukaryota, Viridiplantae, Streptophyta, Magnoliopsida, Poales, Poaceae.